Molecule: unclassified non-coding RNA, 329 nt
Filed under: soil metagenome
Description: partial contains 5.8S ribosomal RNA, internal transcribed spacer 2, and large subunit ribosomal RNA
Rfam family: 5.8S ribosomal RNA (bases 1-120)
Source: RNAcentral
GAUGAAGAACGCAGUGAAAUGCGAUAAGUAAUGUGAAUUGCAGAAUUCAGUGAAUCAUCGAAUCUUUGAACGCACAUUGCGCCCCCUGGUAUUCCGGGGGGCAUGCCUGUCCGAGCGUCAUUACAACCCUCAAGCUCAGCUUGGUGUUGGGCCCCGCCGCCCCGGCGGGCCCUAAAGUCAGUGGCGGUGCCGUCCGGCUCCGAGCGUAGUAAUUCUUCUCGCUCUGGAGGUCCGGUCGUGUGCUCGCCAGCAACCCCCAAUUUUUUUCAGGUUGACCUCGGAUCAGGUAGGGAUACCCGCUGAACUUAAGCAUAUCAAUAAGCGGAUGA